This is a small nuclear RNA of Hippopotamus amphibius kiboko, 164 nucleotides long. RefSeq annotates it as U1 spliceosomal RNA. The record is from RefSeq and is a predicted model, not a curated record. The transcript has a single exon. NCBI's taxonomy places the organism in Eukaryota, Metazoa, Chordata, Mammalia, Artiodactyla, Hippopotamidae.
CAAAAAACCUGACAGGGGAGAUACCAUGAUCAUGAAAGUAGUUUACCCAGGGGGAGGUUUAUCCAUUGUCCUCUGGAUGUGCUGAUGCCUGCGAUUUCCCCAAGUGUGGGAAACUCAACUACACAAUUUGUAGCAGUGGGGGAUUGCAUUCAUGCUUUCCCCUG